GCACUGGUGGUUCACUAGUAGAAUUCUUAUCUUUCAUGCAGGAGAUUCGAGUUCAAUUCCUGGCCAUUGUG
RNAcentral lists this transfer RNA (71 nucleotides) under Loxodonta africana (African savanna elephant). It matches the Rfam family "tRNA". From Rfam's summary of the family: Transfer RNA (tRNA) molecules are approximately 80 nucleotides in length. Their secondary structure includes four short double-helical elements and three loops (D, anti-codon, and T loops). Further hydrogen bonds mediate the characteristic L-shaped molecular structure. tRNAs have two regions of fundamental functional importance: the anti-codon, which is responsible for specific mRNA codon recognition, and the 3' end, to which the tRNAs corresponding amino acid is attached (by aminoacyl-tRNA synthetases). tRNAs cope with the degeneracy of the genetic code in two manners: having more than one tRNA (with a specific anti-codon) for a particular amino acid; and 'wobble' base-pairing, i.e. permitting non-standard base-pairing at the 3rd anti-codon position. Lineage: Eukaryota; Metazoa; Chordata; Mammalia; Proboscidea; Elephantidae. The record is from Rfam by way of RNAcentral.